UACGGAGGGUGCGAGCGUUGUCCGGAAUCAUUGGGCGUAAAGGGCGCGUAGGUGGCCCGGUCAGUUCGUGGUGAAAGCGCGGGGCUCAACCCUGCGUCGGCCAUGAAUACUGCCGCGGCUGGAGCACUGUAGAGGCAGGCGGAAUUCCGGGUGUAGCGGUGGAAUGCGUAGAGAUCCGGAGGAACACCGACGGCGAAGGCAGCGCCCUGGACGAGACCUGACGCUCAGGCACGAAAGCUGGGGGAGCAAACAGG
RNAcentral lists this ribosomal RNA (254 nucleotides) under uncultured bacterium. Its description in RNAcentral is "partial 16S ribosomal RNA". It matches the Rfam family "Bacterial small subunit ribosomal RNA", at positions 524 to 776 of the family's 1533-position model. The record is from RNAcentral.